UACGAAGGGGGGCUAGCGUUACUCGGAUUGACUGGGCGUAAAGGGCGCGUAGGCGGCUUGUACAGUCAGACGUGAAAUUCCUGGGCUCAACCUGGGGGCUGCGUUUGAUACGUGCGGGCUUGAGUUCGGAAGAGGGUCGUGGAAUUCCCAGUGUAGAGGUGAAAUUCGUAGAUAUUGGGAAGAACACCGGUGGCGAAGGCGGCGACCUGGUCCGAUACUGACGCUGAGGCGCGAAAGCGUGGGGAGCAAACAGG
RNAcentral lists this ribosomal RNA (254 nucleotides) under uncultured bacterium. RNAcentral describes it as "partial 16S ribosomal RNA". It matches the Rfam family "Bacterial small subunit ribosomal RNA", at positions 524 to 776 of the family's 1533-position model. The record is from RNAcentral.